GCCCGCACAAGCGGUGGAGCAUGUGGUUUAAUUCGAUGCAACGCGAAGAACCUUACCUGGUCUUGACAUCCACAGAACUUNNCAGAGAUGGAUUGGUGCCUUCGGGAACUGUGAGACAGGUGCUGCAUGGCUGUCGUCAGCUCGUGUUGUGAAAUGUUGGGUUAAGUCCCGCAACGAGCGCAACCCUUAUCCUUUGUUGCCAGCGGUUAGGCCGGGAACUCAAAGGAGACUGCCAGUGAUAAACUGGAGGAAGGUGGGGAUGACGUCAAGUCAUCAUGGCCCUUACGACCAGGGCUACACACGUGCUACAAUGGCGCAUACAAAGAGAAGCGACCUCGCGAGAGCAAGCGGACCUCAUAAAGUGCGUCGUAGUCCGGAUUGGAGUCUGCAACUCGACUCCAUGAAGUCGGAAUCGCUAGUAAUCGUAGAUCAGAAUGCUACGGUGAAUACGUUCCCGGGCCUUGUACACACCGCCCGUCACACCAUGGGAGUGGGUUGCAAAAGAAGUAGGUAGCUUAACUUUCGGGAGGGCGCUUACCACUNUGUGAUUCAUGACUGGGGUGAAGUCGUAACAAGGNAACCGUA
This 585-nucleotide ribosomal RNA is filed under the name Enterobacter cloacae. RNAcentral's name for it is "bacterial SSU rRNA". It matches the Rfam family "Bacterial small subunit ribosomal RNA", at positions 919 to 1504 of the family's 1533-position model. The record is from RNAcentral. Lineage: Bacteria; Pseudomonadati; Pseudomonadota; Gammaproteobacteria; Enterobacterales; Enterobacteriaceae.